RNAcentral lists this ribosomal RNA (203 nucleotides) under uncultured bacterium. RNAcentral describes it as "partial 16S ribosomal RNA". It matches the Rfam family "Bacterial small subunit ribosomal RNA", at positions 328 to 538 of the family's 1533-position model. The record is from RNAcentral.
ACGCUCGACACCUACGGGAGCAGCAGUGGGGAAUAUUGCACAAUGGGGGAAACCCUGAUGCAGCGAUGCCGCGUGAAGGAAGAAGUAUCUCGGUAUGUAAACUUCUAUCAGCAGGGAAGAAAAUGGCGGUACCUGACUAAGAAGCCCCGGCUAACUACGUGCCAGCAGCGGUACGGUAAUCUGAGGCGGGCGUGGACGAAGGC